This 168-nucleotide non-coding RNA is filed under the name human gut metagenome. RNAcentral describes it as "Lysine riboswitch". It matches the Rfam family "Lysine riboswitch aptamer". From Rfam's summary of the family: Riboswitches are metabolite binding domains within certain messenger RNAs that serve as precision sensors for their corresponding targets. Allosteric rearrangement of mRNA structure is mediated by ligand binding, and this results in modulation of gene expression. This family includes riboswitches that sense lysine in a number of genes involved in lysine metabolism, including lysC. The record is from RNAcentral.
GGAGAUAGAGGACGCGACACGGAAUAGUAACGCGCGGUAGGUUGCCACACCAGCGACCGCACGUGAAAGGCCCUGUUGCCGAAGGGGAUGCGCGGUGGAGCAUCCGCCUGGUCUCAACGGCGAAUAGCCUUGCGACUGUCAUCAUCGCGGUAUGAUGGAGAGCUAUCA